This 253-nucleotide ribosomal RNA is filed under the name uncultured bacterium. RNAcentral describes it as "partial 16S ribosomal RNA". It matches the Rfam family "Bacterial small subunit ribosomal RNA", at positions 524 to 776 of the family's 1533-position model. The record is from RNAcentral.
UACGUAGGGGGCAAGCGUUGUCCGGAAUCAUUGGGCGUAAAGAGCGUGUAGGCGGCCAGAAAAGUCCGCUGUGAAAACUCGAGGCUCAACUUCGAGCUGUCGGUGGAAACUUUCUGGCUAGAGUCCGGAAGAGGAGAAUGGAAUUCCUGGUGUAGCGGUGAAAUGCGCAGAUAUCAGGAAGAACACCCGUGGCGAAGGCGGUUCUCUGGGCCGAAAUUGACGCUGAGGAGCGAAAGCGUGGGGAGCAAACAGG